This 445-nucleotide ribosomal RNA is filed under the name uncultured bacterium. Its description in RNAcentral is "bacterial SSU rRNA". It matches the Rfam family "Bacterial small subunit ribosomal RNA", at positions 354 to 796 of the family's 1533-position model. The record is from RNAcentral.
GUAAGGAAUAUUGGACAAUGGACGCAAGUCUGAUCCAGCCAUGCCGCGUGAAGGAUUAAGGUCCUCUGGAUUGUAAACUUCUUUUAUAAGGGACGAAAAAAGGCUUUUCUAAGUCGUCUGACGGUACCUUAUGAAUAAGCACCGGCUAACUCCGUGCCAGCAGCCGCGGUAAUACGGAGGGUGCAAGCGUUAUCCGGAUUCACUGGGUUUAAAGGGUGCGUAGGCGGGCAGUUAAGUCAGUGGUGAAAUCCUAGAGCUUAACUCAAGAAAUGCCAUUGAUACUAUCUGUCUUGAAUAUUGUGGAGCUAAGCGGAAUAUGUCAUGUAGCGGUGAAAUGCUUAGAUAUGACAUAUAACACCUAUUGCGAAGGCCGCUUACUACGCAUAUAUUGACGCUGAGGCACGAAAGCGUGGGGAUCAAACAGGAUUAGAUACCCUUGUAGUCC